Molecule: ribosomal RNA, 522 nt
Filed under: Salmonella enterica subsp. enterica serovar Infantis
Lineage: Bacteria; Pseudomonadati; Pseudomonadota; Gammaproteobacteria; Enterobacterales; Enterobacteriaceae
Also listed under: 7 other names
Description: partial 23S ribosomal RNA
Rfam family: Bacterial large subunit ribosomal RNA
Source: RNAcentral
AGACCCGAAACCCGGUGAUCUAGCCAUGGGCAGGUUGAAGGUUGGGUAACACUAACUGGAGGACCGAACCGACUAAUGUUGAAAAAUUAGCGGAUGACCUGUGGCUGGGGGUGAAAGGCCAAUCAAACCGGGAGAUAGCUGGUUCUCCCCGAAAGCUAUUUAGGUAGCGCCUCGUGAAUUCAUCUCCGGGGGUAGAGCACUGUUUCGGCUAGGGGGCCAUCCCGGCUUACCAACCCGAUGCAAACUGCGAAUACCGGAGAAUGUUAUCACGGGAGACACACGGCGGGUGCUAACGUCCGUCGUGAAGAGGGAAACAACCCAGACCGCCAGCUAAGGUCCCAAAGUCAUGGUUAAGUGGGAAACGAUGUGGGAAGGCCCAGACAGCCAGGAUGUUGGCUUAGAAGCAGCCAUCAUUUAAAGAAAGCGUAAUAGCUCACUGGUCGAGUCGGCCUGCGCGGAAGAUGUAACGGGGCUAAACCAUGCACCGAAGCUGCGGCAGCGACACUCAGGUGUUGUUGGGUA